CCUACGGGGGGCUGCAGUGGGGAAUAUUGGACAAUGGGGGAAACCCUGAUCCAGCAAUGCUGCGUAUGUGAAGAAGGCCUGCGGGUUGUAAAGCACUUUCGGUUGGGAAGAAAAGUUUGGCGCCAAUACCGCCGAACCUUGACGUUACUGACAGAAGAAGCACCGGCUAACUCUGUGCCAGCAGCCGCGGUAAUACAGAGGGUGCUAGCGUUAAUCGGAACCAGUGGGCGUAGAGAGUGCGUACGUGGUUGAAAUCCCCGGGCUUAACCUGGGAACUGCAUUCGAUACUACAUGGCUAGAGUAUGGUAGAGGGAAGUGGAAUUUCCGGUGUAGCGGUGAAAUGCGUAGAUAUCGGAAGGAACACCAAUGGCGAAGGCAGCUUCCUGGACUAAUACUGACACUGAGGCACGAAAGCGUGGGUAGCAAACAGGAUUAGAUACCCCAGUAGUC
RNAcentral lists this ribosomal RNA (450 nucleotides) under uncultured bacterium. Its description in RNAcentral is "partial 16S ribosomal RNA". It matches the Rfam family "Bacterial small subunit ribosomal RNA", at positions 338 to 795 of the family's 1533-position model. The record is from RNAcentral.